CUGACCCGUUUAGAAAAAAAUAACCGGCUACAUAACCGACUCCAACAACUCAUAUAUUUUACCUUGCCUUCUUCACGAAAAUUGAUUGCUGAUUUAUUCUGUUGUCUGCUAAUUACGGCAUUCAUAUCUUCCAUCGUGGAAAGUGCAUGUAAUCAAGGAUGCAUAUUAGACUAUGAAUGUUAUUUUUCAAAAUUCAAACUGAAGUUAUUUGCUUGCUAUGGAAGAGUUCUUGUGUGGGUUCGUAAAGUGAUUUUUGGCAAGCGUCUCAUCGGCUAUGGAAGCAGCCAAUGAUUAAUUGGUCAAGCUCAGAUUUGUACAGAAGAGGCCUGAUCUUGCAAUAGUAUUUACCGGGACUGUACUUUCCACCACCGUGAUUGCGAGGCUCAUGUAUUGUCUUUGAUGUGUAGGUCGUAAGAGAAAUAAAGAAAAUCAGUCAGAUGGUUCACUUGCUGGCAGGAUUUAUUAUUUCUGCAAAGACGCGCUGAAAACAUUAAGAAAUCCAGGACCAUCGGGACUUCGUCAGCGUUUGACAAUAUCAGCUCAGGAAAAAAUGCCACGAGUCGUGUCCCUCUAUCAACUGUUGAUCAUAAUGAAUCCAAUCAAUAUGUAGGCAACAGUCAUUCUCCUCUUUCCAACAGUCGUCGGUAUUCGUUGGUUGCAGAAACCUGUGAAUCAGAUUAUGCUCUUAAAGCCACAGGUCGUGUCUUGCUAUCAACUGUUGACCAGAAUGCAUCAAAUCAAUCAAUCAGGCGUUCUCCGUUGUCCAAUAUUGAUCAAAAUGCAAAUCCUGGCUUUUGUGUUGGAUUCUACCGUCACAGGUCGAUAGCAAUUUAGCUGUGUUAGAUUUCAUUUUAAUUUUCCACCUUUAUAUCAUGGAUAUAAAUUUCUAUAUUUGUUGCUCACCGCGUUGAAAUAUAACUGAUGUUGAAAUUUGGAAUCAGGUGUCAAGCGUAGAGGUCCUGAUAAUAUUUUGCUUACAAUAUGCUCAAGGUUUUCUGUGUACUGGAUGCUACUCAGUGCCAAUCCUCACAACCAACUUUCUUAACGUAUUGUUCUCUCAUCUCCAGACCACACGAUCCUCCCAUCUUCUUUAUAAACAAGUAUAUAAUGUACAGUUUUCUUAAAUUUACCCGAUAUUAUUGAUGGCGUUGAUAAACUAACUAUAACCAGAAAACAGAUUUUUGAUUUAGCUAUGGGUUUUGGCCUUGAAAACCGAUGAUGAAAUUCAUGAUGAUAAUGUAGAACCUGUAGAUUUCUUGACUACUGAUGGGUUGCCUCAAGCAGAAGGAUUAAUCUAUUUUAAGUGUCAUGAUACAACAUAAGGAUAGGUUAGCAAAUAAUAGUUUUAUAACAAAGACACCUGCAAGAUUGUUAAACGAUACGAAGAUUUAGGCCUCAUGCACCCAACAAGACAUCAUAUAAAUCAUUACUGCACAUAUGCAGUGACAAACAGUAUGAACACUGAGAAAGCUCAGAGAUCUAUACCAAGUUGUGCAGCAUUUUAUUGUAAUUCUUUGACACUUGACACCAAACAAAUACUAUACAAGACAAACAGAAACCAAGUCAGCCAUAUAGUGUAUUCUACAAAUUGAAUACAAAAUGCAUGAUCAUUUUCUGCAUAUAGGUCUCCUCUCAGGUGAUAACAUUUGCCGCUGAGUGAAAAGCAGGAGGCGGAACAUUUGAGGAGGUUUCUACUGGUGGUUCAGUACGUCGAAGUUUCCUUUUGCUCUGUCGAGGUUGAGCUUUCAGGCCCAGAUCUGAGCCUGCAGCAGGAUGUUUCCUUACUAUCUUCUGAGGCGGAACUGCACAUGUUUCAGUUGGGUCAGAACCAAUGCCCCUGGAGAAUUUCAAGGUCUCUUCUCUGUUUUACAAUGGGAGUCGAGUUUGGAAUAUUGAGCUCAUAAGAGACAUGUUUGUUGCUCGGGAUCAAGAUUGUAUAAUAAACACAAAGGUACACGAGCAGGGUUCCGAGGAUCGCUUAUACUGGUGCAAGGAGACCUCAGGGGUGUACUCAGUUCGCAGUGCUUAUCGGCUUUUACAAGCUCAGAAAAAUUUAUGGCAAAGUCGUGAUAAUAUUAGUUUUUGGCGAAAGGUCUGGCGGGUUAAAGCUCCACCAAAAGUUCUCAAUCUUAUAUGGAGGGUUCUUUCUAAUAGUCUUCCAACUAAAAGCCAACUGGUCCAAAAAUUUGUGCCAAUUCUUAAUACAUGUCCUUUCUGUAAUACAGAGGAGGAAACAACUAUGCACGUGCUGGUGACUUGCCCUGUAGCUAAGCAAUGCUGGGUGGGUUUGUUACCAGUAAAUCAAGUUAAGAGCAUCUCCAACGGCGUUGGCUAUAAUUGUUGGCUAAAUUGGACCUGUAAGACAUUAUGUAAAAUUUGCUGAACCUGUAAGACAUUUUGCUUCAA
Daucus carota subsp. sativus is the source of this 2406-nucleotide RNA transcript. RefSeq lists it as uncharacterized. The transcript has 7 exons. The record is from RefSeq and is a predicted model, not a curated record. NCBI's taxonomy places the organism in Eukaryota, Viridiplantae, Streptophyta, Magnoliopsida, Apiales, Apiaceae.